This is a non-coding RNA of Aspergillus sclerotiicarbonarius CBS 121057, 154 nucleotides long. NCBI's taxonomy places the organism in Eukaryota, Fungi, Ascomycota, Eurotiomycetes, Eurotiales, Aspergillaceae. The record is from the annotation of a GenBank genome assembly.
GGCAAGGUGGUCGAGUGGUUAAGACGUAAGACUGUAUGUGUUAUCCCGCCUUUCUCUGAUCGAGAAAUUAUUGUACUAAUUCCACUCCAGUGAAUCCUAAAACGGAUGUUAUCUUAUCCCUUCGGGGUCGCGCGUUCAAAUCGCGUCCUUGUCG